UGGGGAAUAUUGCACAAUGGAGGGAACUCUGAUGCAGCGACGCCGCGUGAACGAAGAAGGCUUUCGAGUCGUAAAGUUCUUUUAUAUGGGAAGAUAAUGACGGUACCAUAAGAAAAAGCCCCGGCUAACUACGUGCCAGCAGCCGCGGUAAUACGUAGGGGGCUAGCGUUGUCCGGAAUCACUGGGCGUAAAGGGUUCGCAGGCGGAAAUGCAAGUCAGGUGUAAAAGGCAGUAGCUUAACUACUGUAAGCAUUUGAAACUGCAUAUCUUGAGAAGAGUAGAGGUAAGUGAAAUUUUUAGUGUAGCGGUGAAAUGCGUAGAUAUUAAAAAGAAUACCGGUGGCGAAGGCGACUUACUGGGCUCAUUCUGACGCUGAGGAACGAAAGCGUGGGUAGCAAACAGG
Molecule: ribosomal RNA, 403 nt
Filed under: bacterium
Lineage: Bacteria
Also listed under: 1 other name
Description: partial 16S ribosomal RNA
Rfam family: Bacterial small subunit ribosomal RNA
Source: RNAcentral